This 877-nucleotide unclassified non-coding RNA is filed under the name Hevea brasiliensis (rubber tree). Lineage: Eukaryota; Viridiplantae; Streptophyta; Magnoliopsida; Malpighiales; Euphorbiaceae. The record is from RNAcentral.
CUAGAUGCUUUUAGUGGAAGGAGAGUGAAAGAUCAGUUGAAAGGACUUGAAGCUUACUUGGAAAGAAUCUCGGAAUUUCCAAAGUUUAUAAGGAAUAACCCUGUCCAUGUAGCUGAUGAUAUGAUAGAGCUUUAUAUGGAGUUAUUGUGUCAGUAUGAACGUGAUUCAGUUCUCAAAUUCCUAGAGACUUUUGAUAGCUAUCGGGUAGAACACUGUUUGCGCUUGUGCCAGGAAUAUGGCAUAACAGAUGCAGCUGCUUUUUUGUUAGAAAGAGUUGGUGAUGUUGGGAGUGCUCUUUUUCUGACACUUUCUGGCCUCAAUGAUAAAUUUGCUGUGCUUGAUACAGCUGUGGGAAGUGUGAUUUCAACUACAACUUUACGUGGCUCUGCUGGCAUUGAUUAUUACAGCACUGUUUUAAAAAUGAAAGAGGUUGAUGAAAUACGCAGUAUAUUGAACUCCUGUAUUGGUUUGUGUCAGCGAAACACCCCUCGUUUGCAACCUGAGGAGUCAGAGACACUAUGGUUCAGAUUACUUGAUUCUUUUUGUGAGCCUUUGAUGGAUUCACAUGCUGAUGAAAGGGUAUUGAAAGAAAGUCAUGUUGGAAUGCCAGCAGAAACAUUGGGUGAACAUGAGGAUGAUGAGCCCAUAAUCAAGUGGAAAAUCUCUAGGUCCCACAAAGGUGCCCAUAUCUUAAGGAAAUUGUUCUCUCAGUUCAUCAAAGAGAUUGUUGAAGGAAUGAUAGGAUAUGUUCGCCUUCCUACUAUCAUGUCAAAAUUGCUCUCUGACAAUGGUAGCCAGGAAUUUGGUGAUUUUAAAAUUACCAUAUUGGGGAUGCUUGGAACAUAUGGCUUUGAGAGGAGAAUUCUGGAUACUGCCA